RNAcentral lists this ribosomal RNA (403 nucleotides) under Verrucomicrobiota bacterium. RNAcentral's name for it is "Verrucomicrobia bacterium partial 16S ribosomal RNA". It matches the Rfam family "Bacterial small subunit ribosomal RNA", at positions 355 to 776 of the family's 1533-position model. The record is from RNAcentral. Lineage: Bacteria; Pseudomonadati; Verrucomicrobiota.
UGGGGAAUAUUGCACAAUGGGGGAAACCCUGAUGCAGCGACGCCGCGUGAGCGAAGAAGGCUUUCGAAUCGUAAAGCUCUGUCCUAGGAGAAGAUAAUGACGGUAUCAUAGGAGGAAGCCCCGGCUAAAUACGUGCCAGCAGCCGCGGUAAUACGCAUGGGGCGAGCGUUGUCCGGAAUUAUUGGGCGUAAAGGGUACGUAGGCGGUCUAUUAAGUCAGGUGUGAAAGCGUGAGGCUUAACCUCAUUAAGCACUUGAAACUGAUAGACUUGAGUGAAGGAGAGGAAAGUGGAAUUCCUAGUGUAGCGGUGAAAUGCGUAGAUAUUAGGAGGAAUACCGGUGGCGAAGGCGACUUUCUGGACUUUUACUGACGCUCAGGUACGAAAGCGUGGGGAGCAAACAGG